This is a long non-coding RNA of Oreochromis aureus, 1256 nucleotides long. RefSeq lists it as uncharacterized. NCBI's taxonomy places the organism in Eukaryota, Metazoa, Chordata, Actinopteri, Cichliformes, Cichlidae. The transcript is spliced from 3 exons. The record is from RefSeq and is a predicted model, not a curated record.
AGCAGCAGGAGCAGCAGCAACCCCUCAACAGCAACAUUGUACCCAUCAGCUUUGAGCACCCGCCCCUAUAAACGUCUCUGCACGGCCCUGCCUGGCUACACAGUUCUGCAUAAAGGACUUUGAGGAUGGAGUGGAUGGUUUGAAGUGAAGAAGCACGGUCACUGGAUUAUCACAAGUGAACGGAGUCACACUACUACUGGGAUUCGGGAGAAGAGUACUAUUUGGACUUUGCACCUUUUUUCAUGUUGGGAACUGUAAAUAAAACCGACUAUCUCCAGUCAUCUAGAGCUCCGUCUGAGUCCUCUCUUCCCGCUAACCGUGACAUAGACAGACACACAGUUGAAAACUCUGUCAUGAAUUGGCCUCCGCAGAGCCCAGAGCUCAUCUUACUGAAGCAGUUUAAAUUCUCCUGAUGGAGAGCAGAGCAAAAGACAGCCAGCAUCCAAAGAAGACCUUUGGAACGUCCUUCAAGAAAUUACAAGAACACAUGUCUAAGACAGUUCAGGUUUUGCAGAAAAAUAAAGGUGGCCAUGCCGAUUACUUAUUCAUUGUGAACUAUGUUUUUGUUUUCAUGCUGUAUUUCGAUGUAUCUUUCCAAAUUUCAAUCACUUGCUGCACAAAUUUGCCAUUUUUUCAGUUUCACAGUGAUCUUUAUGCUCCUUUUUAACAAUACAAAACCACAAAAAUAGCAAGUGCGUUAUUAUCAUUGACAGCAUGUACAUUUUAAUUUAUAUUACUACAGGGGAAAUAACAUAUUUAAUGCCUGAGCGUGUGUCUGGCAUAAUAGUAAAAGAUUAAAAAAAAUAUGCUGAAAUAGAUGUGUUUAGGUGAUAUGUGUUUAUACAUCCAUUUGUCACUUAGAACAACAUGUUGCAAUGCAUCGUAGUCUGUUUUGUAAAGGAAACACUGUAAUUAAGAAUAUAAGUCAUUCAAACGUUCUUUGAAGAUAUAAACCCGAUCGAAAUGCUGUGUUUCAUUUCUAAUCAAUAGCAAACAGCUUAUCAGUGUUCACAAGAAGCUGAAAACAACACCUGUAUUCAGUGAUAACAACAGUCAGUGUAACCGAUUCAGUUGGAUUUGGUUUAAAAAGACCAUAAGUAUACCUUUGUUUGAACUUAAUAUUUAUAAAUAUCACUGGUGUGGAAGGAUCUGAUCUUUUGCUGUCAUUUGUUUAAGCUUUAUUAGUUCUUCAUUAUAAGAGUAUGUAUCACCACUUUACCUAGCUCUAUUAGUGGAAAUGUAUGUAUAUUUAUGUA